GGUCCUCCAAAAGGGAAGACCCAAGAUACUGCAGCCAAAAUGUCUCAUGAGGCAGAUGAAUUCCUGACACAAACACAGAAGGAAGCACCCGGAGGACAAGUGAUGGACCAAAAGGCUGUUCAGGAGGAGGAACACUCAGGGAGAAGCAGUGGCUCACUGGCAGCGCUAGCUUCAGGAAGGAAGACGAUGCCAGACAUGGGCACAGGCACAGCAGAUGCAGCUGGCGCCACAAGACCUGUUCCCAAUGCCCAGGAUGGCCUCGGAAGGGGUUUCUGUCAGGGAACAGGCUGCUGGCUAGGGUUUCUGGCAGGCGUGCUUUAU
Molecule: long non-coding RNA, 321 nt
Organism: Passer domesticus (house sparrow)
Lineage: Eukaryota; Metazoa; Chordata; Aves; Passeriformes; Passeridae
Exons: 3
Source: RefSeq, a predicted model, not a curated record